Molecule: ribosomal RNA, 797 nt
Filed under: uncultured Glomus
Lineage: Eukaryota; Fungi; Glomeromycota; Glomeromycetes; Glomerales; Glomeraceae
Description: SSU rRNA
Rfam family: Eukaryotic small subunit ribosomal RNA
Source: RNAcentral
UCAACUUUCGAUGGUAGGAUAGAGGCCUACCAUGGUGGUAACGGGUAACGGGGUGUUAGGGCACGACACCGGAGGGGGAGCCUGAGAAACGGCUACCACAUCCAAGGAUGGCAGCAGGCGCGCAAAUUACCCAAUCCCGACACGGGGAGGUAGUGACAAUAAAUAACAAUACGGGGUUCUUUCGGAUUUCGUAAUUGGAAUGAGUACAAUUUAAAUCUCUUAACGAGGAACAAUUGGAGGGCAAGUCUGGUGCCAGCAGCCGCGGUAAUUCCAGCUCCAAUAGCGUAUAUUAAAGUUGCUGCAGUUAAAAAGCUCGUAGUUGAAUUUCGGGACCAAUAUGUCGGUCGUGCCUCGGUACGUACUGGCAUCGUUGGUUUCUCCCUUCUGACGAACCAUGAUGUCAUUCAUUUGGUGUCGUGGGGAAUCAGGACUGUUACUUUGAAAAAAUUAGAGUGUUUAAAGCAGGCUCACGCUUGAAUACAUUAGCAUGGAAUAAUGAAAUAGGACGUUUGAUUCUAUUUUGUUGGUUUCUAGGAUUGACGUAAUGAUUAAUAGGGAUAGUUGGGGGCAUUAGUUUUCAAUUGUCAGAGGCGAAAUUCUUGGAUUUAUUGAAGACUAACUACUGCGAAAGCAUUUGCCAAGGAUGUUUUCAUUAAUCAAGAACGAAAGUUAGGGGAUCGAAGACGAUCAGAUACCGUCGUAGUCUUAACCAUAGACUAUGCCGACUAGGGAUCGGAUGAUGUUAAUUUUUUAAUGACUCAUUCGGCGCCUUACGGGAAACCAAAGUGUUUGGGUUC